AUACGGAGGGUGCAAGCGUUACUCGGAAUCACUGGGCGUAAAGCGCGCGCAGGCGGGCUGAUAAGUUGGAUGUGAAAGCCUACGGCUCAACCGUAGAACUGCAUCCAAAACUAUUAGACUAGAGUGUGGGAGAGGAAGAUGGAAUUAGUUGUGUAGGGGUAAAAUCCGUAGAGAUAACUAGGAAUACCAAAAGCGAAGGCAAUCUUCUGGAACACUACUGACGCUGAGGCGCGAAAGCGUGGGGAGCAAACAGGAUUAGAAACCCCAGUAGUCC
This 274-nucleotide ribosomal RNA is filed under the name uncultured bacterium. RNAcentral describes it as "partial 16S ribosomal RNA". It matches the Rfam family "Bacterial small subunit ribosomal RNA", at positions 523 to 796 of the family's 1533-position model. The record is from RNAcentral.